Tachysurus fulvidraco (yellow catfish) is the source of this 2028-nucleotide non-coding RNA. Lineage: Eukaryota; Metazoa; Chordata; Actinopteri; Siluriformes; Bagridae. The record is from the annotation of a RefSeq genome assembly.
UGUGUGUCCUCUGUAAUGUGUAAGCUCUCAGUAUCAUCACUAUUACUUUACAAGCAUAAGAAAAGGGCUGCUAUGUGAGAGCUGAUCUGAUGUACACCGGAAAGUGAUGUACUUAUUAUUUAUGAAGUAUAAUAUUCACAGACUGCAAAUUCGUAAGUGUGUUUUUUAGAAAGUGUUCACCUUAAGCAGUUGGUAGUGUCAAAAAUAUAUUUGUCUGCAAUAAGUAGAGGAGAAUGUUCACACCCGGAGUUUUACAGGAAGCUUUUUCUCCUCUCGUCUGUUCCUUUGUGGAUGUUUUUAUAUCUCUAGUGGGUGUGUCAUGCAAACCAAAUCCUGUGUUUGAACCAUUUAUGCUGAAACAUUCAGCCCAACAACAUAGCAGCAGUUUGUGUUCAUUUACAGCAGCAGGAAUCUGUAUCUGUCCCUAGUGUUUCUAGCCCUUUGCCAUUUUUUCCCUUAAUAAACCCCUUAAUGUUAUCCCUGCAUAUGGGUCUUUUUAUCCUUGAAGACACCCUUGUUUCCUGACUCAAGGUUUCUUUCCUCAUAUCACCUUAAAAAAUGUUCUUGACUUGUUGCCUCAGACUUGCUCAUUAAGGAUAAACAUUAGAGAUAAAUAGUAAUCUCAAUUUUAAACUAUUUUAUUUUUCUAUAAAAGCUGCAUUGAGACAAGAUCUAUUGUUAAAUGUGUUAUACAAAUGAAUUAAAUUGAAUUGACAGAUUGAGAACUACAGUAUGGAAGUAGAUAAACAAAGCCAGAAAAAGAGCUCAGUGCCAUAAUCAUUGAGACUAAUAUUGAUUUCCUAAUUAACUGAUUAGAAAUCCAAAUUUAAAUGAUUUACUAUGUUACUGCUGAUACUGUAUCUGAGUGUUUUCUCUCUUUUAAACCUUUCUGAUAAAAAUGUUCAGUUUAGGAAUUCCUACCAACUUUUUUUUUUUUCAGCAAGAACAUUAUAUUUUGCAUAUGCACCUGUAGGGGGCAGCAGCUGCUUGUUUUUGAGAAGGAUUCAUGAAACGAUGAAACCUAACAGCUGAAGUGGGUUUAUGCAAAUUCACCCUGUUAUUAAAAACAGCCUCUUGCAGUUUGAAGUUUGUGUCAUACGACUGAAUCAAAGAGCAUGAUGAUGGGGCUGAAGGUCACUCAGUACUACAUCUUUGUUAUGAUGUUAACCAAAGGUGUCAGCAGUGAUGAGAUCAGACUGGACCAGUCUCCUGCUGUGGUAAAGAGACCUGGAGAAACUGUGAAGAUCUCCUGUAAGAUACAUGGAUAUUCAAUGACAAGCUACAGCAUACACUGGAUCAGACAGAAACCAGGGAAAGCUCUGGAAUGGCUUGGCUGGAUGUAUACAGGCAAUAAUGAUGCAACAUAUGCAGAGUCUGUGAAGAACCAGCUCACCUUUACAGAAGACGUCUCAGCAAGCACACAGUACUUAGAGGCCAAGAGUAUGAGGACAGAGGACACUGCGGUUUAUUACUGCACCCGACAAGCCACAGUGACUGAAGCUGAGGAAGCAGCUGUACUAAAACCAGACACACAUUGUAACUGAACUAACUGAAGUUGCUUAACUUAUAAUUGUAACACAGUUGAACACAGUUUAUAUCUAUUUACUGCUCCAAUUAUCUAUAAAUGUACCUGGAUAACCCUAAAGUAGAUGUGGCCUAAACUAAUUAUCAGGAAUGAAAAUAUACAUAAACCCUGUUUCUAUGAUCCUGGAAACACUUGAAAAAGCUACAGGUAGAAAUAACAGCUCUGUCAGCAUGCUGUGUGAAUGUGGUUCUGACUGUUCCUCAAACCAAUAAACUAGUAGACAUCACAGUCCCAAUACACACUGUAAUAGUUUGACUCACUUUUAUAUUUAUGCUUUUAUGUGUAUCACAGUGUAAGAAAAAAUCAAGCCAAAGCAGCAGAAGUGGUAGGGAGCGUUAACAAAUACUACAAACAGAGACAGAGUGAGAACUAUGGAAACAGUUUAAAAUCAGAGGAUGAAAGUCAUUUACAUACUAAAUGUAACUUACAGAUUCAGUGUAAAA